This is a long non-coding RNA of Mustela erminea (ermine), 1798 nucleotides long. RefSeq lists it as uncharacterized. The record is from RefSeq and is a predicted model, not a curated record. NCBI's taxonomy places the organism in Eukaryota, Metazoa, Chordata, Mammalia, Carnivora, Mustelidae. The transcript is spliced from 3 exons.
GCAACCUGGGCAUGAAGAGAAACACCCAGGCUGUAUGGGCUUCUACCUGGAAGAGGAGAAAUGAGAUACACUGGUCCACCUGGACAUCUGCCCCGCGGCUCACUGCUGGGAGAAGUUCACUGCGAGAGGCCACGCUCACAGGUGGGCAUCUAGCACCCAGGAAAGAAAACAAAGCCUGGCCAUCUGUUCAUCAGCCCGCGAUCCAGUCCCUCGGUGGGAAGUGCCCUGGGAAGUAGAGAACAUUGAUCGGCACCUCCACUUUUUCCAGGAACGCCGUGGACGGGGGGCCACUCUGGGCAUCUGGGGUGCCCCGACCUCCAUCCCCACUGCUCUGUAGUUACGGAGACUGCAGUCGGCAGACUGGCGCUUUAUUUUAUUAGCCCAUGACGCUCUCUGAAACAAGUCCUUUUAAGAAAAUGGUGCCAUUAUGCACAAACAAGCAGUAAGCGGGCUUUUCUUCCCCUUCCCAUUUUUGGAAUGGAAACAGUUUUAUCUGUACCACUAGUACCUUCAUUACAGGAAACCUGCUCGAAGCAGCCUUUGGAGGAGCCCCGAUGUUAUUGCGGCUAUUAGAGCACAGUGAACGGCUGCAGACGGCAGGGGUUUAUGGAGGGACCGAGAAGGCAAACAGGAGCAGCAAAUGAAAACAUAAAACAUUUGCAUUUUCCCAUCUAUGUGCACCAUAAAAAUGCAGGGGGACAGGUUUUGCUCACCUACAGUCAGAGGUUACUAAUUAAACAAAGCAUUACUGAGCCAGAAAUGCCUAUAAAAGCUGCUUUCUAGAACUUUAACCUACAUCUGAGCGUCGGCUUACUAUAGGGCCUGGCAAUGCACUCCUCCAAGGAUUAGGGUCUUUUCUUCCAUAAUUCACUGGAGAGAACGCCAAGUGUGAUACAACCCUCCUUGUGUGCUUUCAAAGCAGUCAGAAUUUAAAGGAAACUUUUCUGCAAAGAUGAUGUGAUUGAGAAGUGGAUCAAAGGGAAGAAAAUACCAGUAUCCUGUCACGAAGUGUUUGGGGAGCCAAAUCCUCACACCUACAAGGCCGCUCGGCCAUGAUGUUCACAGCACCUGGAGAUUGGGCACAGACAUCGUCUUCUUCCUGGGCCUCCACCAACCCCCAAACCAGGGCAGUACCUUCUUCCCGCAUUUUGCACAACCCCAGGCUCACUCUGAAAUCACCCUCUGCUUUCAGUGUGACGAAUCAUCAAGUGGCCGCCUCCUUACCAGCCCUGCUGCUCUGGCCUCAUUCCUCUCUGAACUCUGGCUCAUGGCCAGGUGCAGGGCAAGAGAAUGCUGGAGUCUUAUGGCAUAGAAAGCCUGGGUUCAGCUUGCAUCCAUACAAAGGGAAUUAGGUGAGGAAUAUUCCAGAGGCUUUGCCUACCCCAGUGACAGUCUCCAAGGCCCUGUUGCUCUGAGUUUAGGAAAGUUGGAGCCUGACUUGACCAUGGAACCCACUGAGAUGUUCUCAGAGGAGUAGCUGAAAUUCAAAUAUAUUACUGAUGGGAAUGCAACAUGUUUCCACCUGUGGCAGAGGGAUCUGUUAAAGUCUAGAGAAUUUACAUAUUCAUUGUUGGAUCUAGUGAUCCCACUCCUAGGAAUCCAUCCAAAAGAUUCAAGAUUCAAGGCCGAAGACAACUUUUCAGGCAGAAUAAUACCCCGACCUGGGAACUCCACACCCUAAUUCCUAGGACCUGGGCUCCUGCCAGCUGACCUUGAGGGAUGUGUCCAGGAUCUCCGUGAAACUCAGAUGUCCCACAGCUCCUGGUUCUAGCAAUCAAAAAUAAAGUCACCUGUUAAC